This 120-nucleotide ribosomal RNA is filed under the name uncultured bacterium. RNAcentral's name for it is "partial 16S ribosomal RNA". It matches the Rfam family "Bacterial small subunit ribosomal RNA", at positions 28 to 146 of the family's 1533-position model. The record is from RNAcentral.
GACGAACGCUGGCGGCGCGCUUAACACAUGCAAGUCGAACGUGAAGCUGGAGCUUGCUCCGGUGGAAAGUGGCGAACGGGUGCGUAACACGUGAGCAACCUGCCCCGAAGACUGGGAUAA